CCAGCAGCUGCGGUAAUUCCAGCUCCAAUAGCGUAUAUUAAAGUUGCUGCAGUUAAAAAGCUCGUAGUUGGAUUUCUGGUACGGUGCACCUGUCCCGCCACGGUUAUCGUGUGUGAGUGACGGGCUGCGCCUGCCAUUCUUGCAGUGAUCUGGUGUGCUCUUCACUGAGUUGCGCCAGCUAUCUGCAUCUUUUACUUUGAAAAAAUUAGAGUGUUUAAAGCAGGCUUAUGCUAUGAAUACAUUAGCAUGGAAUAAUAAUCUAGGACUUCGGUCUUAUUUUGUUGGUUUUCAGGAUCGAAGUAAUGAUUGAUAGGGACAGUUGGGGGUGCUCGUAUUGCAUGGCCAGAGGUGAAAUUCUUGGAUUCAUGCAAGACGAACUUAUGCGACAGCAUUCACCAAGGAUGUCUCCGUUAAUCAAGAACGAAAGU
RNAcentral lists this ribosomal RNA (428 nucleotides) under uncultured eukaryote. RNAcentral describes it as "SSU rRNA". It matches the Rfam family "Eukaryotic small subunit ribosomal RNA", at positions 567 to 990 of the family's 1831-position model. The record is from RNAcentral.